AAAAAAAAAUGAAGACAACAUAAGUGAGAGUGCAAGAGAGAUUUUUUUUUUUAAUUUUAGUUUCUUCUAUUCUACCUUUUACCAAAGCUAUAGCUACCAUCUUGAAUCAAAUGCCGCAACAGGAUUUUUAUAUUGACAUUGCUCAGUAAUCCUGGUGAAUUUGAAGUACGGGUGGCAUGGUAAACGACUGGUUAGAGCGUCUGCCUCACAGUUCUGAGGUCUGGGGUUCACAUCCUGGCCCCGACUGUGUGGAGUUUGGAUAUUAUUCCUUUGCCUGCUUGGGUUUUCUCUGGGAACUCCAGUUUCCUCCCACAUCCAAAAAACAAACUUGUGGAUUAAAAAUCCUACCUGUAAGAGUGCAAUGAAGAGGAAAAAAGCAUUGGCUGCCCUCCUGAACUGCGAGUAGAGGAAUCUCGGAAGAAAGGUGUGUAAGGAGUUCUGCAUGACAGUGGGAGCAGCAGCCAGCCUGCCCUCCAGCUAUCAUCCCCAAUCCAACCCCAGAUGGUGGGGGCGAAUCAAAACUUGGAAUCUCCUUUUUGCUGUGUUGCUAUUCCCAAUUCAAUAUCCUGGAGCACCUUUCUACCAUACAUGAAAUAUUCCCACA
Long non-coding RNA from Syngnathoides biaculeatus (alligator pipefish), 604 nucleotides. RefSeq lists it as uncharacterized. NCBI's taxonomy places the organism in Eukaryota, Metazoa, Chordata, Actinopteri, Syngnathiformes, Syngnathidae. The transcript is spliced from 3 exons. The record is from RefSeq and is a predicted model, not a curated record.